GCGCGCGCCGUCUCUCGGGGCGGGGCACCGGGCCCCUUCCGGGGAUGGGCCCCGGCGCCCGCGUCGGCCUGGCUGUGCCCGGCCCCUCCCCGCUCGGGCGGGCGCUGCGCCGUGUCCCCGCCCGGCAGUCCGCCCGGCUCGGCUGGCCGCAGAAAGGGCCUGGGCCGCCGCACUGAGAGCUUUACGCCCGGAGGCGUCGGCGCUGCCGCUGGCCCGCGACGGGAACGGGGCGAAAAGGCGGGGGCACCAUGUUCUCCCUCAAGCCGCCCAAACCCACCUUCAGGUCCUACCUCCUGCCACCUCCCCAGACUGACGAUAAGAUCAAUUCGGAACCGAAGAUUAAAAAACUGGAGCCAGUCCUUUUGCCAGGAGAAAUUGUCGUAAAUGAAGUCAAUUUUGUGAGAAAAUGCAUUGCAACAGACACAAGCCAGUACGAUUUGUGGGGAAAGCUGAUAUGCAGUAACUUCAAAAUCUCCUUUAUUACAGAUGACCCAAUGCCAUUACAGAAAUUCCAUUACAGAAACCUUCUUCUUGGUGAACAUGAUGUCCCUUUAACAUGUAUUGAGCAAAUUGUCACAGUAAAUGACCACAAGAGGAAGCAGAAAGUCCUAGGCCCCAACCAGAAACUGAAAUUUAAUCCAACAGAGUUAAUUAUUUAUUGUAAAGAUUUCAGAAUUGUCAGAUUUCGCUUUGAUGAAUCAGGUCCCGAAAGUGCUAAAAAGGUAUGCCUUGCAAUAGCUCAUUAUUCCCAGCCAACAGACCUCCAGCUACUCUUUGCAUUUGAAUAUGUUGGGAAAAAAUACCACAAUUCAGCAAACAAAAUUAAUGGAAUUCCCUCAGGAGAUGGAGGAGGAGGUAAUGGAGCUGGUGGUGGCAGCAGCCAGAAAACUCCACUCUUUGAAACUUACUCGGAUUGGGACAGAGAAAUCAAGAGGACAGGUGCUUCUGGGUGGAGAGUUUGUUCUAUUAACGAGGGUUACAUGAUAUCCACUUGCCUUCCAGAAUACAUUGUAGUGCCAAGUUCUUUAGCAGACCAAGAUCUAAAGAUCUUUUCCCAUUCUUUUAUUGGGAGAAGGAUGCCACUCUGGUGCUGGAGCCACUCUAACGGCAGUGCUCUUGUGCGAAUGGCCCUCAUCAAAGACGUGCUGCAGCAGAGGAAGAUUGACCAGAGGAUUUGUAAUGCAAUAACUAAAAGUCACCCACAGAGAAGUGAUGUUUACAAAUCAGAUUUGGAUAAGACCUUGCCUAAUAUUCAAGAAGUACAGGCAGCAUUUGUAAAACUGAAGCAGCUAUGCGUUAAUGAGCCUUUUGAAGAAACUGAAGAGAAAUGGUUAUCUUCACUGGAAAAUACUCGAUGGUUAGAAUAUGUAAGGGCAUUCCUUAAGCAUUCAGCAGAACUUGUAUACAUGCUAGAAAGCAAACAUCUCUCUGUAGUCCUACAAGAGGAGGAAGGAAGAGACUUGAGCUGUUGUGUAGCUUCUCUUGUUCAAGUGAUGCUGGAUCCCUAUUUUAGGACAAUUACUGGAUUUCAGAGUCUGAUACAGAAGGAGUGGGUCAUGGCAGGAUAUCAGUUUCUAGACAGAUGCAACCAUCUAAAGAGAUCAGAGAAAGAGUCUCCUUUAUUUUUGCUAUUCUUGGAUGCCACCUGGCAGCUGUUAGAACAAUAUCCUGCAGCUUUUGAGUUCUCUGAAACCUACCUGGCAGUGUUGUAUGACAGCACCCGGAUCUCACUGUUUGGCACCUUCCUGUUCAACUCCCCUCACCAGCGAGUGAAGCAAAGCACGUAUGAAAUCAUCUACUGGAACAUGGUGAUUGAUUGAUAGAAGAGGUGAAGGCAUCUUCUCCCACCCAUACUUCUUCUGUGUCAUCCAUGGGAUGUUUCUGCUUGCCCUCUAAAGCCAGCUUUUAGCUAAGGCUUUGGCUCUUAGCUCCAACUGCAACCACAUGGCAGACUUCUACUUCAGCCCCCAGCUUCUGCAGUUCAGCCAGCCAGAUCAUCUGCUUAUGUGAAAGACGAUCAUUGGGGCCUUUAACUUCCACCAGCUGGAAAAGAAAUUUUUAAAAGUUGUUAUUAGUAUCUUACUGAAUGAAAAGCCAUUCAAGUAAGUUGUAGUUGUCACUGACAACUAUUUAAAUGGCUCUUCUGCUCUCUCACUGUAUUUGUAAGUGUAACACAAAUAUAUGGAUGGUCCUUCACUUACAAUGGUUCACCUUAGGAUUUUUUGACUUAAAAAUGGUGCAAAAGUGAUAUACAUUCAAUAGAAACCAUACUCUGAGUGUUGAUCUUUUCCCAGUAUGAUACUCCAUGCUGGGCAGCAGCAGUGAGCCACAGCUCCCAGUCAGCCACAUGAUCAUGAGGAUAAUCAGUCCUCUACGGUUUGCAGUGAACUACAUGAUCUGCCCAACUGUAGGCUAAUGCACGCAUUCUGAGCACAUUUAAGGUAGGCUAAGCUAAGCUAUGAGGUUUGGUGGGAUAAAUAUGUUAAAUGCAUUUUCAACUUAUAAUAUUUUCAGUUGAUGUUUAGGAUUUAUCAGGACAUAAGGCCAUCAUAAGUUGAGAAGCGUCUGUAUGUAGCUUAGAAAUUUAUUCAGAAAUUCUUCUAUUGUGUAGAAACUAGACAGUUCUUCACAGAGGAUGAGUAAACUGAUUCUUAGUAUAGCAAAUGAAAAAUUGUUUUAAAGCAUGCACUGGAUUUUACUUCCCUGCUUAAAACCCUCCGAUUACUCUGUUACAUUUUCAAUUAAAUCUAACCUUCUUGCCAUGACCAGUCUCUUCCCUACCCCAAGGCCCUCACUCCCACUUGCUAUUUGCUGUUCCCGCUGCCUGGGACAUUUCUCCCUGUUCUUGACAUGCCUGACUUCUUACCUUUCAAUGCUCAGCUUAAACUGAUCUGGAGAGGUCACAGCUCUAAGUGUAUCCUCCCUAUGCACUUCUUUCAUGGCAUUCACAAGAUAAAAAUAUAUACUACAUGUCAUCUUCAUGAAGGCAAGAAUUGUGUGUUUUGUUCACUACACAUCACUAGACUUGAAGACACAGCAAUAAAAACUAUUCUAGGUAAAAUAUAGAAAAAAAUUGUUUAAAUACAGCAUUUAGCAGCCUAAGGGACAUUUAAUUAGAGUCCCCAAAGGAACGAGAAAAAAAAAAUACUUGAAGAAAAAAUGGCCAAAAAUUUUCCAAAUUUGAUGAAAACAAUAAACCCAAAGACUGAAGAAAAUCAAUGAAUCCCAGGCACACAAAUGUAACGGCACCCUAGGAAAUAUCACAACUGUAUAAUCAGGGGAUAUAGUCAAAGCAGCCAGAAUUUUUAAAGCCAGAGGGAAAAAAAAAGAUUCUUUGAUUGGAAACCAUGCUAGUUAGAAGACAGUAGACUAAUAUUUUUAAAGUAUUGAAAAAUAAUUGUCAACAUAAGAUUCGUUGCCCGGAGAAAAUAUCUUUCAAAAACAAAGGUGAAAUAAAGGCUAAGACAUACAAAACCUAAAUACAGCCAUCCCUCAGUAUCCAUGGGGGACUGGUUCAAGGACCCCCUGUUACCAAAAUCCAUGGAUGCUCAAGUCCCUCAUAUAAAAUGGCAUCACAUCUGCAUAUUCUAUGCACAUCUUCUCAUAUACUUUAAAUCAUCUCUACUUAUAUCUAAUGUAAAUGCUAUGAAAAUAGUUGUUAUGCUGUAUUUUUAUUUGAUUUGUUUAUUGUUGUAGUUACUUUUUAUUGUUUUUCUUUUUUCCAAAUACUUUCAGUCCAUGGUUGCAUCUACAGAAGCAGAAACCAUGGAUACAGAGGGCUAACUACUGUAAUUCAUUACUAGCAGAACUUCCAGACAUGGAAAUUUUUUCUUUUUCUUUUCUUUUUUUUUUUUUUUUUUUUGAGACAAGGUCUCACUCUGUUGCCCAGGCUGGUAUACAGUGGCAUGAUCUCAGCACACUGCAGCCUUGACCUCCCAGGCUCAAGCAGUUCUCUCACCUCAGCCUCCCAAGCAGCUGGGACUACAAGUGCACACCACCACACCCAGCUAAUUUGUUUAUCGUUUUGUAGAGAUGAGGUCUCACUGUGUUUGCCCAAGCUGGUCUCCAACUCCUGAGCCCAAGCAAUCCGCCCACCUCAGCCUCCCAAAGUGCUGGAAUUACAGGCGUGAAAGGAAAUUCUUCAAGCAGGAGAAUGAGACUACACAGAAACCUGGAUCUAUACAAAAGAAUAGCAAGCACUGGAAAUGCUAUCUACAUGAGUAAAUAUAGACUCAUUAAUCAACUGUAGAAAGCAAAAAUAAUAUGUUAUAGAACGUAUAACACGUAGAAGUAAAAUAUAUGAAAACAUCACAAAGGCUGGAAGGGAAGAUAUAUAUUAUUGAAAGGUUCUUUUUACUCUAAAGUGUGUAUCACCUGAAGGUGGAUAAGUUUAAGAUAUAUAAUAUACUAAUGCAACCACUUAAACACAAUGAACAGUUACAGCUAACAAGCCAGCAAAGCUAUCAAAUGCAAUCUUUAAAAAUAAGACAGAGCCAGGCACUGUGGCUCAUGCCUGCAAUCCCAACACUAAGAGACCACGGCAGGUGAACUGCUUGAGCCUGGGGGUUUGAGAUCAGCCUGGGCAACAUGGUGGAACCCCAUCUCUAAAAAAUACAAAAACCACAAAAAUUAGCCAGGCAUGGUGGCGUGCACCUGUGGUUCCAGCUACUCAGGAAAAAGACAAGGGACAAAAGAGUUCUGAGACAAAGAGAAAAUAAGUAUCAGGAUUUAAAGCUAAGGAUAUCAAUAAUCAAAUUAAAUGUAAAUGUUCCAAACACCCCAUUAAAAGACAGAGGUUAAGUUGGAUUCAAAAGUAAGACCCAACUAUAUGAUGCCUACAGGAAAUCCACAUUAAAAAUAAGAUAAAACAGGUCAAAAGAAUGGAAAAAUGUAUCAUGUUAACAUUAAAAAAAAGAAGGCUGAAGUGGCUACAUGUUAACAAUAUCGGACAAAGUUGAUUUCAGAGCAAAGAUUACCAGGUGUAAAGGGGGGGUCACUGCAUAAUGAUAAAAGGGAAGACUCACGAAGAGGACAUGACAGUCCUAAAAGUCUAUGCGUCUUAUAACAGACCUUCAAAAUACAUGAAGCAAAUAGUGAUAGAAACGCAAGAAGAAAUACACAAAUCGGCUGGGCACGGUAUACUCUCAGCACUUUGGGAGGCCAACGUGGAGCCCAGGAGUUCGAGACCAGCCUGGGCAACAUGGUGGAACCCCAUCUCUACAAAAAAUAAAAAAAAUUAGCUGGGCAUGAUGGUGCAUGCCUAUAGUUCUGGCUACUCAACAGGCUGAGGCAGAAGAAUUGCUUGAGCCUGGGAGAUCAAGGCUGCAGCGAUCCAGGAUCGCACUGCCACUACACUCCAGCGUAGGUGACAGUGAGAGUCUGUCUCAAAAAACAAAAAAAAAAAAAAAAAGAAAGAAAAAUACCACAAUUAUAAUCAGAGAUAUCAAUAUUCUCUCAAUAAUUUAUAGUACAAGUAAAUAAGAAAUCAGUAAGGACACAGACAACUUAAACAACACUAUCAACCAACUUGACCUAAUUGACAUUUAAAAAUACUGCCCACAACAAAUGCUGAACACACAUUCUUUUCAAGUACAAAAAGAAUAUUCACCAGGGAAAACCAUAUUCUGGACCAUAAAACAAGUCUCAACAAAUUUAGUGGGAUUCAAAAUCAUACAAAAUAUGUCCUCUGAAUACAAUGGAGUUAAAUUACAAAUCAGUAGCAGAAAGAUACCUGAAAAUCUCUCAAGUGUUUGGAAAUGUAAAUGACUCACUUCUAAAUAAGCCAAGGAUCAAAGAAGAGUCAAAAGGGAAAUCAGAAAGUAUUGUGAACUGAAUGAAAAUGAAAACAACUACUAAAUUUGUGAGGUUCAGAUAAAGCAGCACUGAGAAGGAAAUUUGGAGCACUACCUAACUCUAUUAGAAAAGAAGUUCUCAAAGCAAUCACCAUAGCUUCCACCUUGAGAAACUAGGAAAUAAAAAAACAAAUGAAACCAAAAGCUGAUUCUUUGAGAAAAUCAGUAAAUUGAUAAACCUCCUGCCAGACUCAUCAGGGAAGAAAGAGAAAUGACACAAAUUACCAAUAUCAAGAAUAAGAGCAUGACAGAGAUAAAGAUUCUACAGAUAUUAAAAUACAAUAAGAAACAAAUACA
Molecule: RNA transcript, 6149 nt
Organism: Gorilla gorilla gorilla (western lowland gorilla)
Lineage: Eukaryota; Metazoa; Chordata; Mammalia; Primates; Hominidae
Gene: MTMR10
Gene name: myotubularin related protein 10
Exons: 16
Source: RefSeq, a predicted model, not a curated record